UGAUGCUAUAAGUACCUUAAACAUUUCAUGGAAAAUCCUCACAACUCAUAAGUGAAGUCACAAGUAAAUUCACAACCAAAAAAAAGUAACAAAAGAAUUAAAAAAGAUGGGAAAGUCCACUUACUUUUUCGGCAUUCUUGCCCUCUCUCUCAUGUUCUUGCUUAUCAUUAGCACUGAAAUGCAAACUACGGAAGCAAAGAGUCCGUGUGGAUGGAUACACAGGGGUAAGGCACCUUGUUUCUUUGGUGAUUGCAAAGAAAAGUGUCGGGAUUUCUACGGAGCUAAAACUGGAAGAUGCACUUAUGCUAAACGUACUUUUGGUUGCUUUUGUAACUAUGGCUCUUGCAAGCGUCAUUAAUUACCUUUUUCCAAACAAAAGAACAAAAAAAGAUGAUUACUACUAAUUUUCAUCAAACAAUUAAUAAUAUAUUUGGGAGUUGGGAGGUGUUCUGGUUGCUAUGGUUUUCGACCGAUAUGAAAACUGUGUCGUGUUUGUUUUUGUGUGCGUUGAAAAUACUUCCUAGUUCCUAUAUAUGUAACCAAUAUAUUAUCUAUAUGUACUAUAUAUUAAAAAGCUGUGAGAAAGUAUGUGUGACCCGUGACGCUCUGUUUACGAGUCUUUCAUUAAAAAAUGUUAUACAUAGUUUGUAUAAGGUUUGAACCCCAACCUUGGGUUUAAACAAUAAUUAAA
Molecule: long non-coding RNA, 691 nt
Organism: Spinacia oleracea (spinach)
Lineage: Eukaryota; Viridiplantae; Streptophyta; Magnoliopsida; Caryophyllales; Amaranthaceae
Exons: 2
Source: RefSeq, a predicted model, not a curated record